This 490-nucleotide ribosomal RNA is filed under the name uncultured bacterium. Its description in RNAcentral is "partial 16S ribosomal RNA". It matches the Rfam family "Bacterial small subunit ribosomal RNA", at positions 29 to 507 of the family's 1533-position model. The record is from RNAcentral.
AGUGAACGCUGGCGGUAGGCCUAACACAUGCAAGUCGAACGGCAGCACAGGAGAGCUUGCUCUCUGGGUGGCGAGUGGCGGACGGGUGAGGAAUACAUCGGAAUCUGCCCAGUCGUGGGGGAUAACGUAGGGAAACUUACGCUAAUACCGCAUACGACCUUCGGGUGAAAGAGGGGGAUCGCAAGACCUCUCGCGAUUGGAUGAGCCGAUGUCGGAUUAGCUAGUUGGCGGGGUAAUGGCCCACCAAGGCGACGAUCCGUAGCUGGUCUGAGAGGAUGAUCAGCCACACUGGAACUGAGACACGGUCCAGACUCCUACGGGAGGCAGCAGUGGUGAAUAUUGGACAAUGGGCGCAAGCCUGAUCCAGCCAUACCGCGUGGGUGAAGAAGGCCUUCGGGUUGUAAAGCCCUUUUGUUGGGAAAGAAAUCUUUCAGGCUAAUACCCUGGGAGGAUGACGGUACCCAAAGAAUAAGCACCGGCUAACUUCGUG